Long non-coding RNA from Xyrauchen texanus (razorback sucker), 2450 nucleotides. RefSeq lists it as uncharacterized. NCBI's taxonomy places the organism in Eukaryota, Metazoa, Chordata, Actinopteri, Cypriniformes, Catostomidae. The record is from RefSeq and is a predicted model, not a curated record. The transcript is spliced from 3 exons.
CUCUUUAAGAAAACCAGCAUUUCUAUAAAGAGCGUCUGUAUAUGUAUAUUAACAAGAGAGGACUUGAAUGGCUGUGCUUUGCAUGAUUAUAAAUAGUUUAUUUUUUGUUGUUUUUGACAACUGACUGUAGAGGACAGGAAGGGUGUUAAAAUAGACAUAUUAAACGACAAAUGGGUCGCUUGGAUCGUCUUUUUACAUGCAUUACAUGGAACAACUUUUACUCUCAACAUGCAGUGAAAGUAUUUCGCUGCUGAAUACUCCACCACUAUACUACACAAUCUCUGGUGAGUGAAAUCUAAACACUGACCUGCCAGCUGCCAAAUAUACUGUAUACAUUUUAGUUUAGUUUAUACAAAUUUGGUUGCAAAUGUGAGGGAUUUCCUCACAUUGUAGUAGAGUGUUGCUCAUAGAUUAAAAGAUCGAUCUUGGGAUUUAAGAAUCAAUACCGAGAUUGUUCAAAUGAACCUCGUGAUUCAAUGGAAAUGUAUAUUUUUCCCACCCAUACUGUGAAUAUAUCAAAAUGAACUGGAUUUGCAAUUCCUGAAGGACAUACCAGUACUUGACUGUUUUGGAAGCAAAAUAAUAGAGUUAAAGUUUUAGGUUAACUUAAGUUUUAGAUUAAGGCUUUGAUUCUACAUAGAUGAAAUACUGCAGCAGAGCCACUUUGCCUUUUUCAUGACACUCAGUGCAUGUCUUGUUUUCGAUUUGAUUUGCACAAGAAUCAACACUAGUAAUAUAUAACUUAAAUAUAACACAAUGCGUUCAGAACCCAAACAUGGUUUCUAAUUUUUCAUAAAGCACAAGUCACUGGAUUGUCAUCACUGGGCAAUAAGGUGACAGAAAAAUUAAAGCAUAGGGACUUAUGCAAACACUAUAGUUAAUUAUUAUUUAUUACUGUAAUAAUAUUUAAGACACAUUCCAAAACUGAGAGUUAAAAAUGAGAGGUGGUCUCCAAUCAGUACAGGAAGCAAUACGUUUUAAGAGUAACGUGAAACAUAGACCCCUGGAGUGAUAUUUAUGUUCAUUUUAAGUGUUCUAGCCUAAACGUAUGAGUUUGAGCUGCAAUUUACCCCCUUACCCUUUCUAUCUUUCUUUCCAUCAGUGACGGCAACACACUCUCGUGGGAUUCUCUGUACUCCCCUCCCUUGGUCGGUGUAGCCUGAACCCUGACACUUUACAUUCUUUACUUCUCUCACUCUGUUCCGCAGUAAGAGAAUCUAACCAUCGAAGUGAGGAGAGGGAAAAGUCGACGAGCCUUGCAGGUGCAACAACACUCACAGAUGGCAGACAAGCCGAGAAAACACCCUGCAGCCUGGGAGCCACGCCUGUGAGAACACAACAGAGAACUUUAGAAAGGCUCUGAGAAAAUACCUUCACCAGAGCCUCCUCAAGAUCCCAAACAACCCAUUUCUGUGCCCUUGGGCCAUGGUCUGGGCAUCGUCCAGGCAUCAUGAUGACCGGGGGGAGCGGGGAAUGGUCAGGGCCACUUGACCUACCAUGACCUUGUUUAUUUUUCAGUCAGUAAGGGCAAGCAGGGGAUCGUUUACACAAACUGCCACAACGUAACAAGCAUUCCACUGUGAAGGCAGAAGAGUUCCACAUGGACUGAUGAAGAUUCAGGUAGUCUGUGAGGACAGCCCUUUGAGGUUUCAGUUCUGUGACUAGCCUCAGGGGAUGCAGUGAAUAGCCGCUGUCAGGGUAUCCAGGAUUAGUCCGUCUGCUAGAGGCCUGCGCAUGACAGCAGUACCUAUCUCUUCACCUGGAGCGCUUGGCUCACUGGAGGAUAAGACCGAAACAUAUUAAUGCCUCACUUUUUUGUUAAACCCCAUUGGUUACUUUUAUAAUAUGUAAAUAUGCCAUUUUAAGGUUUAACAAAGUUCAGUAAAAAAAAAAAAAAAAAAAGUGAUUUAAUCCUCCAAGUCAGGCAAGUUUGUCUAGUGUAUCCAUAAAAUGAAAGUGAAUUGAGACUGAGGCUAACUUUGUUAGCUUUGAGGACACCUAUAUGCUACUAGUCUUUUUCAAAAUUUGACUAAAUAAACCUUUGGCACAUAGAAGCACUUAAAAUUUAAAGUGUUUUUCUUACUGGAAAAUAUACCAAACCGUUUAUGAAUACUAUCUGCCAGUGACUAGCAAUAACAAGUAGCAAAUAAAAUCAUAAAAACCAUUAAAAAAACUAAAAACCAUUACCUUGCCCUACCCAAACUGUCUCAAUAGGAAAUAUGUCUUCACAGGAAAAAAAAAUUGUGAAAUGUGCCCAUCAAACCAGUUUACAGAGUCUUUAAUAUGGUAAAAGCUUGAGCAUUGCUAAGGUAGGUUAGCUGUCACUAGCUAAACUGAUUAGCCAAACAGUACGAUGUGAGUUUACCCCUUCCAGAGGCAAAUGGAUAACAACUUUUAUGUGUGAGUGUUCUGUAAUGAAUCAAAUUUAUAUUAAAUAAUUAUGACACUAC